AAAUAAUACCCCACAGAUUUUACAAUUUAUCCAGGAAGUUAUCCAGCAUGGGGAUGCCCUCUUUCAGCCCUUUGCAUUUCCGUGUCUCACUGACCACUUGAGAAGGACAGCUGGCGCUGUCAAAGGGAUCCCUAGGGAGAAUCUGCCAGUGAUCCGAACACACACUAU
Pseudonaja textilis is the source of this 168-nucleotide non-coding RNA. NCBI's taxonomy places the organism in Eukaryota, Metazoa, Chordata, Lepidosauria, Squamata, Elapidae. The record is from RefSeq and is a predicted model, not a curated record.